AACGAACGCUGGCGGCAGGCCUAACACAUGCAAGUCGAACGCCGUAGCAAUACGGAGUGGCAGACGGGUGAGUAACACGUGGGAACGUACCCUUUGGUUCGGAAUAACUCAGGGAAACUUGAGCUAAUACCGGAUAAGCGCGAAAGCGGAAAGAUUUAUCGCCGAAGGAUCGGCCCGCGUCCGAUUAGCUAGUUGGUGAGGUAAUGGCUCACCAAGGCGACGAUCGGUAGCUGGUCUGAGAGGAUGAUCAGCCACACUGGGACUGAGACACGGCCCAGACUCCUACGGGAGGCAGCAGUGGGGAAUAUUGCACAAUGGGCGCAAGCCUGAUGCAGCGACGCCGCGUGGGGGAUGACGGCCUCGGUU
This 366-nucleotide ribosomal RNA is filed under the name uncultured bacterium. Its description in RNAcentral is "bacterial SSU rRNA". It matches the Rfam family "Bacterial small subunit ribosomal RNA", at positions 29 to 424 of the family's 1533-position model. The record is from RNAcentral.